ACGAACGCUGGCGGCGUGCUUAACACAUGCAAGUCGAACGGAAAGGCCCUGCUUUUGUGGGGUGCUCGAGUGGCGAACGGGUGAGUAACACGUGAGUAACCUGCCCUUGACUUUGGGAUAACUUCAGGAAACUGGGGCUAAUACCGGAUAGGAGCUCCUGCUGCAUGGUGGGGGUUGGAAAGUUUCGGCGGUUGGGGAUGGACUCGCGGCUUAUCAGCUUGUUGGUGGGGUAGUGGCUUACCAAGGCUUUGACGGGUAGCCGGCCUGAGAGGGUGACCGGACACAUUGGGACAGAGAACAGCCCAAGACCCCGCGGGGGGGCAGAGGGGGGGAAUGUUGCAGAAUGGGGGGAGGCCUGAGACAGAACCGCCGCGUGGGGAAGAAGGGCUUUGGGGUUGUAACCCGCUUUCGCCUGUAAAGAAGGGGGGGUAAGGGUAGGGGAAAAAGAGGCACCGGCUAAAUAGGUG
RNAcentral lists this ribosomal RNA (467 nucleotides) under uncultured bacterium. RNAcentral's name for it is "partial 16S ribosomal RNA". It matches the Rfam family "Bacterial small subunit ribosomal RNA", at positions 29 to 507 of the family's 1533-position model. The record is from RNAcentral.